RNAcentral lists this ribosomal RNA (206 nucleotides) under uncultured bacterium. RNAcentral's name for it is "partial 16S ribosomal RNA". It matches the Rfam family "Bacterial small subunit ribosomal RNA", at positions 568 to 775 of the family's 1533-position model. The record is from RNAcentral.
AGCGCAGGUGGUUGUAUAAGUCUGAAGUAAAAGGCAGUGGCUCAACCAUUGUGUGCUUUGGAAACUGUACAACUUGAGUGCAGAAGGGGAGAGUGGAAUUCCAUGUGUAGCGGUGAAAUGCGUAGAUAUAUGGAGGAACACCGGUGGCGAAAGCGGCUCUCUGGUCUGUAACUGACACUGAGGCUGAAAGCGUGGGGAGCAAACGA